RNAcentral lists this ribosomal RNA (485 nucleotides) under uncultured bacterium. RNAcentral's name for it is "SSU rRNA". It matches the Rfam family "Bacterial small subunit ribosomal RNA", at positions 26 to 518 of the family's 1533-position model. The record is from RNAcentral.
AGGAUGAACGCUGGCGGCGUGCUUAACACAUGCAAGUCGAACGGUGAAGUGAGGAGCUUGCUCUUUGCGGAUCAGUGGCGAACGGGUGAGUAACACGUGAGUAACCUGCCCUUGACUCUGGGAUAAGCGUUGGAAACGACGUCUAAUACCGGAUACGACCUCCGAAGGCAUCUUCUGGAGGUGGAAAGAAUUUCGGUCAAGGAUGGACUCGCGGCCUAUCAGCUAGUUGGUGAGGUAAUGGCCCACCAAGGCGACGACGGGUAGCCGGCCUGAGAGGGUGACCGGGCCACGACUGGGACUGGAGACACGGCCCAGACUCCUACGGGAGGCAGCAGUGGGGAAUAUUGCACAAUGGGCGCAAGCCUGAUGCAGCAACGCCGCGUGAGGGACGACGGCCUUCGGGUUGUAACCUCUUUAGUAGGGAAGAAGCCGCAAGGUGACGGUACCUGCAGAAAAGCACCGGCUAACUACGUGCCAGCAGCCGC